Molecule: non-coding RNA, 88 nt
Filed under: Virgibacillus subterraneus
Lineage: Bacteria; Bacillati; Bacillota; Bacilli; Caryophanales; Bacillaceae
Description: GEMM cis-regulatory element
Rfam family: c-di-GMP-I riboswitch aptamer
About the family: GEMM was predicted in a large-scale screen for bacterial structured RNA regulatory elements.
Source: RNAcentral
GUACGAAAAUGGCAAAAUCAUUGAAAAAUGAUGACGCAAAGCUACAGGGACUAAGUUGGAUUUUCCAAUAAGUCAGCCAGCUUUCGAA